UACGGCGGCGGGACAGUUCGCAAGAACUGCCUGAGGAAAGUCCGGGCUUCACAGAGGCAUGGCAACUGCUAACGGCAGCCGGGGGUGACCCCAGGGAUAGUGCAACAGAAAGAAACCGCCGCGCCCUGGCGCGGUAAGGAUGGAAAGGCGAGGUAAGAGCUCACCAGCGCACUGGCGACUUUGCGGCUAUGUAAACCCUGCUUGAAGCAACAUCCGUAUGGGACAUGAUGCGGAGCCUCGCGCGUCCCGGUGAUGGCGUGAGCCUUGCGGCGACGCAAGGCCAAGAUAGAUCGUCGUUUGAUACAGAACCCGGCUUACGGUCCAGUC
Molecule: RNase P RNA, 327 nt
Filed under: uncultured Gemmiger sp.
Lineage: Bacteria; Bacillati; Bacillota; Clostridia; Eubacteriales; Oscillospiraceae
Description: Bacterial RNase P class A
Rfam family: Bacterial RNase P class A
About the family: Ribonuclease P (RNase P) is a ubiquitous endoribonuclease, found in archaea, bacteria and eukarya as well as chloroplasts and mitochondria. Its best characterised activity is the generation of mature 5'-ends of tRNAs by cleaving the 5'-leader elements of precursor-tRNAs.
Source: RNAcentral